UUUAAAACAAAUAAUCCAUUCACAAUGGGUGCAAAAGCCAUAAACAUAUCAUUCUUAGAGAUCACACAACCAUUGUUUUCACUCGCAAAUGAAUAACCAUCCUUCAUCAAGCAUGAAGGAGACAAAAUGUUUCGACUUAAACUAGGAACAAAAUAACAAUUAUUCAACUCCAUAAUAAAUCCUGACGGGAGGUGGAGUUGCAUCGUCCCGAUGGUUAACGCAGCAACUCUUGCAUUAUUGCCCACGCGGAAAUCAACUUCUCCUCUUUCCAC
Molecule: long non-coding RNA, 272 nt
Filed under: Setaria viridis
Lineage: Eukaryota; Viridiplantae; Streptophyta; Magnoliopsida; Poales; Poaceae
Description: long non-coding RNA (SVIR_LNC010609)
Source: RNAcentral